RNAcentral lists this ribosomal RNA (804 nucleotides) under Sodalis-like endosymbiont of Proechinophthirus fluctus. Its description in RNAcentral is "bacterial SSU rRNA". It matches the Rfam family "Bacterial small subunit ribosomal RNA", at positions 1 to 792 of the family's 1533-position model. The record is from RNAcentral. Lineage: Bacteria; Pseudomonadati; Pseudomonadota; Gammaproteobacteria; Enterobacterales; Bruguierivoracaceae.
UUUAAUUGAAGAGUUUGAUCAUGGCUCAGAUUGAACGCUGGCGGCAGGCCUAACACAUGCAAGUCGAGCGGCAGCGGGAAGAGGCUUUCCUCUUUGCCGGCGAGCGGCGGACGGGUGAGUGAUGUCUGGGGAUCUGCCCGAUGGAGGGGGAUAACUACUGGAAACGGUAGCUAAUACCGCAUAAUGUCGCAAGACCAAAGUGGGGGACCUUUAGGCCUCACACCAUCGGAUGAACCCAGAUGGGAUUAGCUAGUAGGUGGGGUAAUGGCUCACCUAGGCGACGAUCCCUAGCUGGUCUGAGAGGAUGACCAGCCACACUGGAACUGAGACACGGUCCAGACUCCUACGGGAGGCAGCAGUGGGGAAUAUUGCACAAUGGGGGAAACCCUGAUGCAGCCAUGCCGCGUGUGUGAAGAAGGCCUUCGGGUUGUAAAGCACUUUCAGCGGGGAAGAAGGCAAUGGCGUUAAUAGCGCCAUUGAUUGACGUUACCCGCAGAAGAAGCACCGGCUAACUCCGUGCCAGCAGCCGCGGUAAUACGGAGGGUGCGAGCGUUAAUCGGAAUUACUGGGCGUAAAGCGUACGCAGGCGGUCUGUUAAGUCAGAUGUGAAAUCCCCGGGCUCAACCUGGGGACGGCAUUUGAAACUGGCAGGCUAGAGUCUCGUAGAGGGGGGUAGAAUUCCAGGUGUAGCGGUGAAAUGCGUAGAGAUCUGGAGGAAUACCGAUGGCGAAGGCGGCCCCCUGGACGAGGGCUGACGCUCAGGUACGAAAGCGUGGGGAGCAAACAGGAUUAGAUACCCUGGUA